Molecule: long non-coding RNA, 2494 nt
Organism: Ailuropoda melanoleuca (giant panda)
Lineage: Eukaryota; Metazoa; Chordata; Mammalia; Carnivora; Ursidae
Exons: 2
Source: RefSeq, a predicted model, not a curated record
UUGAAGAUUCUCUGCCUUUGCCCCUCCCCCCCAAAUAAAGAGAUAAAUCUUAAAAAAAAAAAAAAAGAGAGAGAGAGAGAGAGAGAGAAGUGCUGGUGAGGAUGAGGGGAAAAGGGAGGCCUCGUGGUGGGAAGGUAAAUGGGUGCAGCCAGUAAGGAAACCAGUGUGGAGGCUCCUUAACUCAGUUAUUUUCAGAUGAACACUCAUUGCUGCCACCCAGGCUGUGGGAGUAGUCCAGAGGCCUCCCCACUCCAUCUUCCCUGCCACACACAAACCCCUUCCUUCCUCUGAGGGUGACCACUACCCUGAUGUUCCCAUGGCCACCAGAGUCUAUUUCUGGAUACUCUAUUCUGUUUGAUUAGGCUGGUUGCCUAGACCUGAGUCCAUAUGGAAAUGUGGUUAAUAGUAAAGAUGGCCUCACAAAUCACUUAGGAAAAGAGGGAGGUUUAAGUAAAUUUUAUUGGGACAACUAGAUAACCAUUUGGAAAAAGAUAAAAUUACAUCUGUACCUUAAACCAUUCACCAAAAUGCCAAGUGAAUCAGAACUAAAUGUAAAGAAUAAAACGCUAAAAGUGGUGGCUCUUUGAUAUAUUCAAACAUUAUAUUAUAUAUAUAUAUAUAUAUAAAAUAUAUAUAAUCUUAAUAUAUAUAUAUAUAACAUAUAUUUCAGCUUUGUAGCUAGUUUUUGGAUUGGGAUUUUUUUCAUGCUCUGUAUCGUACCCUGUAUUGCUAAAUAUGGGAGAUUUCUCAUCCUGUUUGUGUGUAUGUUCCAAACAUUGUUAAAUUCCUUUUCUACUGAUAUAAUUGCCCCCAUUUCAUUUGUCCAUGGGAGUUGAUCCCUUUUUCAUUCCUUCCCUGUAGAUCAGAGGGGUUGUGGGACGGAAAGUUCAGUAUGCUUGAUGUUUACUCAUGUACUUAGUAGACACCUUUUGCCUCCUUGGUUUCCCUCUGUCUCCACAGAGUAGGUUUUUUUGUGGUUGCUUAUUGAACCCCUCUCUGUCAUGAUGGAGGCUUUUAAAUAAUUGGGAAUUGAAAAUUGUUUUCUCUUCUGAAAUAGUGGAUCAAGAAACUGCUUGGGAACUUUGUGUAUAUGGAUGGGGCUUACCUGCUAUUCAGGUUGGCAUUAGGGUGGCUGGACAGGGAACCAGCCAUUCCAUGGCGAGGAGGGGUAAGGAUGAGCUAGUUUAUGUUACAGUAACAAACACCCCUGAAACUCCCAGUGGCUCAGAACAGCAAUGUUUAUUUCUCACUCAAGCCACAUUUCCAUCCUGGGGCUCUCUGCUUCUCAUGGUCACUCGAGGAUCCAGACUGGUAGGGGUAUACCAUCUGUGAUGGAUCUGGGGUCUCAGGGGCAGGGAAAAGAGAAUCUGGUGAACCACAUACUGGCUCUCAAGACGUACACAUUUCCUUGAUGCUAAAGAAGUCCCAUGGCCAUGCCUGAGUUUAGCAGAGAUGUGUAACCCUUCUCUGGGUGAAGCCCCAUGUUUGGAUGAGCAGUAACACCGUCUAUGACACAGAGGGCUCUUUGGAGAGAAGUGCCUGGAUUGAUGGCCUCGGCAGGGGUGGAUGGAUGCCAGGGAAGGGAAUGAAGGGGUUAAGGAUUUUCCCCCAUCACACAAACAGCUGGAGGCUGCCUUCAGCAGGCAUGGGGCUGCUUCUGGUGACACGUUUGGCAAGGUUAGGAAACCUCUCUCCCUGCUAGGUGAGGGAAAAGAUCAGAUCCUAAACCUGUAUUUUUAAAAAUUAAAAUAUUCUUUUCUGAGUGUGAUUUUAGAAUCAGUGCCCCUUCUCACUACCCUUCCAGAAAAAUCACAGCUUCCGCAGCAAGUCUAUGCCUGGAUGACAACUAACCCAUGAAACUGCAAGAAGAUGCCCCCUCUUCCCAUUCUUGCUGAACCAUGGGUAUUAGGACCAGCCUGUUCCUCUGAGAAUAUAGAAGCAACACCUUUCAUCUAACAACUGUUUCCGUUCUGGAGAAUAAUACAGGCUCUUUCUGGCAGCAUGGCUUCUCUCCAGGGAGAAGGCUUGGUGAGGGUAGAUUGGGACUGGAUUAAAAUCGUCAAGGUCUCCACUCUCUGACCCAGCACCUGUACUUCCAGGAACAGUUCCUACAGCGACUUUCACGGGGCAGAGGUGAGUGAGGCUGCGCGCCGUGGCACCGCGGCCCCCCCCCGAUGCCAUUGUCAAGAGUGAGGGGCGCCUGUGUGCUGGGCAUAUCACAUGUGCAAGAUAGGCUGCGAGUGAAGAGCCCGAAUAGAAUGUUCACAUUUUUGUAAAAAAGUGGGUAUGUAAACAGAAGGAAAUAUAUCAAAUGUUCACCAAAGUGCUAGCAGUGGUGAUUCCAGAGAAGUGGGGAUAGAACGUGCUUGCACCUUAUAUAUGUACACACACACACACCUUUUUAAAUGAGCAUAUAUUAGUCUAAUUAGCAGAAAAAUACAAAUAAAAACGAAUCAUGAUUAGUAAAGCCUUUCAUAAUCACUUUAAAAUUUCU